AGAUCUGCAACAAACUAUUAUUUGAAGUAGGAAGGAGGUAGACAAUUGCAAAACAAUGUUCCACACAGCUAGCCCCUAGAACUUAAUGAAGCAUCCAAAUGAUUGCUAGCAUGUGAAGAUUUGAAAGCAUAAUAAACAAUCAUCCCUAAACCCCUUUUCCCCUUUGUGAAUUCUCCUAGGGUAUUAUUACCACAUAAUCAGCAGGUACUUACAUUCCUAUAACUGCGACCAGAUAAGAGAACUAAAGCUCGUGAGAAUUAGAAGCGAUAUUAAUCGCAAUGAGUUAUCAGGAUUGCCAAAAUGGACUAAUGGACAGGGAUCAAGUCAAAAUUCAGGACGCAGAACACAAUCAACUGCUUAAGAAUCCAUCAAAUAUUACAAUCAGCAUACAAACGAAGCAAUUUGAAUCAGUAUAAACAGCAAUCACCUCCUGAAACGUGAACUUCUCGUGCCACAAGAGUGCCAGCACGAAGCUCCCACCAACGAGGAAAUAGUGACGGAAGGUAU
This 507-nucleotide long non-coding RNA is filed under the name Linum usitatissimum (flax). Its description in RNAcentral is "long non-coding RNA (LUSI_LNC001804)". Lineage: Eukaryota; Viridiplantae; Streptophyta; Magnoliopsida; Malpighiales; Linaceae. The record is from RNAcentral.